This 491-nucleotide ribosomal RNA is filed under the name uncultured bacterium. RNAcentral's name for it is "partial 16S ribosomal RNA". It matches the Rfam family "Bacterial small subunit ribosomal RNA", at positions 29 to 507 of the family's 1533-position model. The record is from RNAcentral.
AGUGAACGCUGGCGGUAGGCCUAACACAUGCAAGUCGAACGGCAGCACAGUAAGAGCUUGCUCUUACGGGUGGCGAGUGGCGGACGGGUGAGGAAUACAUCGGAAUCUACUUUUUCGUGGGGGAUAACGUAGGGAAACUUACGCUAAUACCGCAUACGACCUACGGGUGAAAGCAGGGGAUCUUCGGACCUUGCGCGAUUGAAUGAGCCGAUGUCGGAUUAGCUAGUUGGCGGGGUAAAGGCCCACCAAGGCGACGAUCCGUAGCUGGUCUGAGAGGAUGAUCAGCCACACUGGAACUGAGACACGGUCCAGACUCCUACGGGAGGCAGCAGUGGGGAAUAUUGGACAAUGGGCGCAAGCCUGAUCCAGCCAUACCGCGUGGGUGAAGAAGGCCUUCGGGUUGUAAAGCCCUUUUGUUGGGAAAGAAAAGCAGCAGGUUAAUACCCCGCUGUUCUGACGGUACCCAAAGAAUAGCCACGGCUAACUACGUG